RNAcentral lists this ribosomal RNA (497 nucleotides) under uncultured bacterium. RNAcentral's name for it is "partial 16S ribosomal RNA". It matches the Rfam family "Bacterial small subunit ribosomal RNA", at positions 28 to 507 of the family's 1533-position model. The record is from RNAcentral.
GAUGAACGCUGGCGGCGUGCCUAAUACAUGCAAGUCGAGCGAACAGACGAGGAGCUUGCUCCUCUGACGUUAGCGGCGGACGGGUGAGUAACACGUGGAUAACCUACCUAUAAGACUGGGAUAACUUCGGGAAACCGGAGCUAAUACCGGAUAAUAUAUUGAACCGCAUUGUUCAAUAGUGAAAGACGGUUUUGCUGUCACUUAUAGAUGGAUCCGCGCCGCAUUAGCUAGUUGGUAAGGUAACGGCUUACCAAGGCAACGAUGCGUAGCUGACCUGAGAGGGUGAUCGGGCACACUGGAACUGAGACACGCUCCAUACUCCUACGGGAGGCCGCAGUAGGGAAUCUUGCGCAAUGGGCGAAAGCAUGACGCAGCAACGUCGCGUGAGUGAUGAAGUCCUUCGGAUCGUAAAACUCUGUUAUUAGGGAAGAAGAAAUGUGUAAGUAACUAUGCACGUAUUGACGGUACCUACUCAGAAAGCGACGGCUAACUACGUG